ACAGAACUCUUUCAAUACAUCGAUCACAACACACACUUCCCCAAUAUUAAAACCCUAACAAUGAAGACGGUCGAUCAAAGGCGACUGAGCUGUGAACGAGCAUUGUGCGGUGGUUUCUGAACGAUGAAUGAGCCUUGGUGUGUUCGUGAUCCUAGUGAAGUAUUCAAUCCAGAAGAGGCAUAUGAUAAUAAACUACCCUGAAAACUUUUCAAUCGAAAUACACCAUGGGGUUGAAUUUACCAAUGUUGUGAAAACCGAACCGGACCGGCCGGUUCGACUGGUCGGACCGGCAACCGGAACCCUAGCCGGUCCGGUUUGUGGUGUUGAACCGUUUUGCACUCAACCGGCCGGUUGGAUCGGUGACCGGCGGCCGGAUCGGAAAAUCAGUGCUAUUUAGUGGUCGGGCCGACGAAGUUGAAUAAGGGGAACGAAUUUUAUCAGAUCUGUUGUCAUCUCCGACGAGGCCGCAAAAAAAAAUACUGUACCUUUUAGGGUUUGAUACUUGUGAUUCAUAAAACGAUGGGUAAUAAAUAGAAAUGAAAAUUAUCAUAUUUUUUCU
Molecule: long non-coding RNA, 559 nt
Organism: Helianthus annuus (common sunflower)
Lineage: Eukaryota; Viridiplantae; Streptophyta; Magnoliopsida; Asterales; Asteraceae
Exons: 2
Source: RefSeq, a predicted model, not a curated record